This 267-nucleotide ribosomal RNA is filed under the name uncultured bacterium. Its description in RNAcentral is "partial 16S ribosomal RNA". It matches the Rfam family "Bacterial small subunit ribosomal RNA", at positions 793 to 1055 of the family's 1533-position model. The record is from RNAcentral.
GUCCACGCUGUAAACGAUGAGCACUAGAUGUUGCUGGUAUUGACCCCGGCAGUGUUGUAGCUAACGUGUUAAGUGCUCCGCCUGGGAACUACGGUCGCAAGAUUAAAACUCAAAGGAAUUGACGGGGGCCCCGCACAAGCGGUGGAUUAUGUGGUUUAAUUCGAAGCAACGCGCAGAACCUUACCCGGGUUUGACAUCUCAAGAACCCUCUAGAGAUAGAGGGGUGCCCUUCGGGGAGCUUGGAGACAGGUGCUGCAUGGCUGUCGU